Long non-coding RNA from Amblyraja radiata (thorny skate), 315 nucleotides. RefSeq lists it as uncharacterized. The transcript is spliced from 2 exons. NCBI's taxonomy places the organism in Eukaryota, Metazoa, Chordata, Chondrichthyes, Rajiformes, Rajidae. The record is from RefSeq and is a predicted model, not a curated record.
GAUUGACUAUGAAGAGGAGGACGACCAGUUACACCUAAAAGUGAACUGGCCACAAUACGUCGAGGCACAAAAUGAGAAGCUUCAAAAAAUAUUGGAAACAUAUGAAGAGCAAUACCAGAACAUGCAAGUAGGUUUAGAACAAGUUACCAAGGGAGCAGCUUCCCAGGUUGGGAGAAUUUGUGAUGCAUUUAAUUCCCCCACGUACAAUCUUAAUUCCAAGUGUGCGCAUUCUGCACAGAUUCAAGAGUCUCAAGUAUCCUGCUAAUUAAUAUUACAUUGCAUUUUACAAAUAAUUUUAUGUUGCUUAUUCAGAUU